AAUCAACGCUGGCGGCGUGCCUCAGACAUGCAAGUCGAACGCGAAAGUUCCCUUCGGGGGAGUGAGUAGAGUGGCGCACGGGUGAGUAACACGUAGGUAAUCUACCUUUGGAUGGGGAAUAACAACCGGAAACGGUUGCUAAUACCGCAUAAUGCAGCGGCACCUAAUGGUGACAGUUGUUAAAGCGGGGGAUCGAAAGACCUCGCGUCUGAAGAGGAGCCUGCGGCGGAUUAGCAGUUGGUGAGGUAACGGCUUACCAAGGCGACGAUCCGUAGCCGGCCUGAGAGGGCGGUCGGCCACACUGACACUGACAUACGGGUCAGACUCCUACGGGAGGCAGCAGUCGGGAA
RNAcentral lists this ribosomal RNA (350 nucleotides) under uncultured bacterium. Its description in RNAcentral is "bacterial SSU rRNA". It matches the Rfam family "Bacterial small subunit ribosomal RNA", at positions 32 to 361 of the family's 1533-position model. The record is from RNAcentral.